Clupea harengus (Atlantic herring) is the source of this 1663-nucleotide long non-coding RNA. Lineage: Eukaryota; Metazoa; Chordata; Actinopteri; Clupeiformes; Clupeidae. The record is from Ensembl.
AUCUGAAAAACCUAGAAAAGUUAAAGUUACACUACACACCAGGCUAUACAGCCUUUACCACCAGUACGAUUUGUUAGCAUCUCUCCAGCACUUCUGGACCGAGCUUUAAUGAGAAUGCAGUGUUACAACUACAAUAUGUAGCUUUUACUGACUUCUACCAAAUUGAAUGCAAGUAAUGGCAUAAAUCACCUCGUAAGAUUAACUGGCCACUUGUGAAAUUGCACAAAUGUCAGACAUUCACCCUGUGCCCAUACCAAUGAUAUUAACAGUUGGCACAUACAGUGGAAAAAUCCUGUCCUGUACUCAGGCAACUUCUUAGUUACCUAAAAUUAGGACCCUUUCGUCGCUGGUCCUAUAAGUAGCACAAACUCAGUAGCAAAAUUUCUUCUUGGUCGGGAACAUGGAACAUCCUGGUGGCGCCGUGUGUUAUUUGGUGAUCGCUCUAGUUAGGGCUAUAUCACACUAUACUACAAGGUGACCCGUACAGGAUGAGAAUAUCAUGAAACUAUUUGUUUCAUCUUAAUAUAUCGUCGUUUGAAAUGGUAAGCUUAAUGCUCACUUGUAGAUUCGAAACUGCUAGUAACGUAUAGAUUCCAAACUGCUACUACCCAGCUAUGCUAACUCUUACUUGGCUGCGCGGUGAUUUGAAAUGUGAAAUCCGCUGUGAUUGCCUUGUCGGCAAAUCUAACAGUUUUCAAUUAUGCAUUUAAUAAAUUAAUUGAAUUUCCAUAGUAACAAGAGAAUUUGCUACAUGGUGAGUUUACCCUAGAAUUGCCCUGUUUUAGAGAGGGCCCACGUGUUUGCCAUGCGGUGAAACAUUAGCCAGAUUCCAUUUGACCAAUCUAUAACGGUAGUAGUUUGCAGGCUAGGUAUGUAGCAGUUCGUAAUGUGUGUUAAAGGAUGACAGCACAAGACUAUAUAGUCUCUGAUACAGCAUGAUGGUCUUUCACAGUGCACUGAAAACGCAUGUUUAUACACCAACGAUUAUCACUGUAAUGUCACUUAUGAACGGUCAUCAGUGUUUCAACCUUCUUUCAGCAGUCUGCCGGGUAUGGAGGCUCUUGUGACUAUGGGCUCAAGCAAACCUUGGCAAAUUUUGUGCCCCCCUUAUCACCAGGCCUUCCACACACUCAACUGGUAAAGCCCAGUUACUGGACCUGGAGACCGGAUGUCUGUCUUUACAGUGGCUUGCAGGAGGGCAAGGUUCUUUCAUUUAAAGGUGUUCCUGUACCUGGAAUGUGAUGUCGGUCUUUACAGGGGCUUGCAGGAGGGGAAGGUCCUUUCAUUUCAAGAUUGACUUGGAUGGAAUCAUGGUCAGUCUACGAUCAAGCUAGAAGCUCCAGUUGUGAAGUCAUGAGGUGUUGCUGUUAUGAAGAUCUACAUUAACUGCACUGGGACCCAACAACCUCCAAGACUCAUAAAUUCGAAAUAAAUUUCUUUAAAUUGAAUUGUGUGUGUGUGUGUUUUAACUGAAGUGGUGUUGGUUUGUAGAUUGUCCACUUAUGAUGCAGCUGCAGUAAACGCAGAACACAAGUGUUUUAUCUAAUGUUUUGUGACUCUCUUUGAAGCUUCUGCUAGAUACGUUGAUCAAUAUACAUUUCUGAUUCUGACAUAAGUAAUUGUUAUAGGCGGAUGUCUAAGAUUAUACGUUUAAAGUGUACAU